ACUCAAUAGAUACCCCGGUAGUCCACGCCCUAAACGAUGCGAACUGGAUGUUGGGUGCAACUAGGCACUCAGUAUCGAAAGCUAACGCGUUAAGUUCGCCGCCUGGGGAGUACGGUCGCAAGACUGAAACUCAAAGGAAUUGACGGGGGCCCGCACAAGCGGUGGAGUAUGUGGUUUAAUUCGAUGCAACGCGCAGAACCUUACCUGGCCUUGACAUCCACGGAACUUUCCAGAGAUGGAUUGGUGCCUUCGGGAACCGUGAGACAGGUGCUGCAUGGCUGUCGUCAGCUCGUGUCGUGAGAUGUUGGGUUAAGUCCCGCAACGAGCGCAACCCUUGUCCUUAGUUGCCAGCACGUAAUGGUGGGAACUCUAAGGAGACCGCCGGUGAC
Molecule: ribosomal RNA, 389 nt
Filed under: uncultured bacterium
Lineage: Bacteria
Description: bacterial SSU rRNA
Rfam family: Bacterial small subunit ribosomal RNA
Source: RNAcentral